UCACCGUUUACACGGGCAGUUUCUCUAGAGUCCCCGGCAUUACCCGCUGGCAACUAGAGAUGGGGGUUGCGCUCGUUAUGGGACUUAACCCAACAUCUCACUACACGAGCUGACGACAGCCAUGCAGCACCUGUGUACUGGUUCUCUCUCGAGCACUCCCCAAUCUCUCGGGGAUUCCAGCCAUGUCAAGGGUAGGUAAGGUUUUUCGCGUUGCAUCGAAUUAAUCCACAUCAUCCACCGCUUGUGCGGGCCCCCGUCAAUUCCUUUGAGUUUCAGCCUUGCGGCCGUACUCCCCAGGCGGGGCACUUAAUGCGUUAGCGACGACACUCAGGGGGUCGCUCCCCCAAGCAUCUAGUGCCCAUCGUUUACGGCGUGGACUAC
Molecule: unclassified non-coding RNA, 381 nt
Filed under: uncultured bacterium
Lineage: Bacteria
Description: contains 16S-23S intergenic spacer region
Source: RNAcentral